RNAcentral lists this ribosomal RNA (819 nucleotides) under Escherichia coli. RNAcentral's name for it is "partial 23S ribosomal RNA". It matches the Rfam family "Bacterial large subunit ribosomal RNA", at positions 371 to 1194 of the family's 2925-position model. The record is from RNAcentral. Lineage: Bacteria; Pseudomonadati; Pseudomonadota; Gammaproteobacteria; Enterobacterales; Enterobacteriaceae.
CCCCGUACACAAAAAUGCACAUACUGUGAGCUCGAUGAGUAGGGCGGGACACGUGGUAUCCUGUCUGAAUAUGGGGGGACCAUCCUCCAAGGCUAAAUACUCCUGACUGACCGAUAGUGAACCAGUACCGUGAGGGAAAGGCGAAAAGAACCCCGGCGAGGGGAGUGAAAAAGAACCUGAAACCGUGUACGUACAAGCAGUGGGAGCACGCUUAGGCGUGUGACUGCGUACCUUUUGUAUAAUGGGUCAGCGACUUAUAUUCUGUAGCAAGGUUAACCGAAUAGGGGAGCCGAAGGGAAACCGAGUCUUAACUGGGCGUUAAGUUGCAGGGUAUAGACCCGAAACCCGGUGAUCUAGCCAUGGGCAGGUUGAAGGUUGGGUAACACUAACUGGAGGACCGAACCGACUAAUGUUGAAAAAUUAGCGGAUGACUUGUGGCUGGGGGUGAAAGGCCAAUCAAACCGGGAGAUAGCUGGUUCUCCCCGAAAGCUAUUUAGGUAGCGCCUCGUGAAUUCAUCUCCGGGGGUAGAGCACUGUUUCGGCAAGGGGGUCAUCCCGACUUACCAACCCGAUGCAAACUGCGAAUACCGGAGAAUGUUAUCACGGGAGACACACGGCGGGUGCUAACGUCCGUCGUGAAGAGGGAAACAACCCAGACCGCCAGCUAAGGUCCCAAAGUCAUGGUUAAGUGGGAAACGAUGUGGGAAGGCCCAGACAGCCAGGAUGUUGGCUUAGAAGCAGCCAUCAUUUAAAGAAAGCGUAAUAGCUCACUGGUCGAGUCGGCCUGCGCGGAAGAUGUAACGGGGCUAAACCAUGCAC